RNAcentral lists this ribosomal RNA (362 nucleotides) under Megalaspis cordyla (torpedo scad). Its description in RNAcentral is "partial 12S ribosomal RNA". It matches the Rfam family "Bacterial small subunit ribosomal RNA", at positions 1023 to 1527 of the family's 1533-position model. Lineage: Eukaryota; Metazoa; Chordata; Actinopteri; Carangiformes; Carangidae. The record is from RNAcentral.
CCUAGCUUUAUUCCGCCUAUAUACCACCGUCCGCCAGCUUACCCUGUGAAGGACUAAUAGUAAGCACAAUCGGCACAGCCCAGAACGUCAGGUCGAGGUGUAGUGAAUGGGAGGGGAAGAAAUGGGCUACAUUCGCUGUCCGCCAGCGAACACGAACGCUGCAUUGAAACAUGCAGCUGAAGGAGGAUUUAGCAGUAAGCAGAAAGCAGAGUGUUCCGCUGAAGCCGGCUCUUAAGCGCGCACACACCGCCCGUCACCCUCCCCAAGCAACUGGACCUAAAUUUUUCUUUAAACCCUAACAAUCGCAAAGGAGAGGAAAGUCGUAACAUGGUAAGCGUACCGGAAGGUGCGCUUGGUUAAAC